This 249-nucleotide unclassified non-coding RNA is filed under the name uncultured fungus. RNAcentral describes it as "sequence contains ITS2". The stretch from base 1 to 52 matches the Rfam family "5.8S ribosomal RNA", at positions 103 to 154 of the family's 154-position model. The record is from RNAcentral. Lineage: Eukaryota; Fungi.
AACGCACAUUGCGCCCGCUAGUACUCUAGCGGGCAUGCCUGUUCGAGCGUCAUUUCAACCCUCAAGCCCUGCUUGGUGUUGGGGCCCUACGGCUGCCGUAGGCCCUGAAAGGAAGUGGCGGGCUCGCUACAACCCCGAGCGUAGUAAUUCAUUAUCUCGCUUAGGGCGUUGUGCGGUGCUCCAGCCGUUAAAGACCAUCUUUAACUCAAGGUUGACCUCGGAUCAGGUAGGAAUACCCGCUGAACUUAA